RNAcentral lists this long non-coding RNA (415 nucleotides) under Vitis vinifera (wine grape). RNAcentral describes it as "long non-coding RNA (VVIN_LNC007576)". The record is from RNAcentral. Lineage: Eukaryota; Viridiplantae; Streptophyta; Magnoliopsida; Vitales; Vitaceae.
UGUCUUUAAGGAACAAAUGUUGCAUGUGUAAAAAGGAAAAAGAAUCCAUUUAUUGCAUUAUACACACAAAUUUCUUUUCAAGAAAAACUUAUUUGUGGUCAAAUUAUAUUUUUAUUGAUUUGAAGAAUGAUGUGGUUAUAAUCUCUAUACUCUAAUUCUUCAUUUUUCCUAGUUGUUAAUCAAGGGCUUGAGGAACCUGGUUAUCAAAUAGCUUCAACUUAAUUUGGGCCUUAACUUGAUUUAAUUUUGAGAGUUGACUUGACUUGAGUCUUGGCAUGAUUUGCACCUUGUCUUGACUUGGACCUUGGUGUGAUUUGGAUUUUGGCUUGACUUGGACUUUGGCGUGAAUUAGGUAUUGGUGUGACUUGAGCUUUGGCUUGAUUGCCUUGACAUAACUUGAACAAUGCCAAUUGAG